Octopus sinensis (East Asian common octopus) is the source of this 167-nucleotide long non-coding RNA. RefSeq lists it as uncharacterized. The record is from RefSeq and is a predicted model, not a curated record. NCBI's taxonomy places the organism in Eukaryota, Metazoa, Mollusca, Cephalopoda, Octopoda, Octopodidae. The transcript is spliced from 3 exons.
UGACUACCUCGAUUACCUUAACCCAUUUCUCCACAAGCAGUAUACCCACGCCCCCAACCCUGUCAGUGUUCCCUGUCCAGAAAGUCUUGUACAUGUGUUCAUUGCCUGUGAGGAACCUAGCAGAGCCUCCUCUCCACCUUACUUCUUGGAUGCAUGGGUUAGUCAAU